GACGAACGCUGGCGGCGUGCUUAACACAUGCAAGUCGAACGGUAAGGCCCUUCGGGUACACGAGUGGCGAACGGGUGAGUAACACGUGGGUGAUCUGCCCUGCACUUCGGGAUAAGCCUGGGAAACUGGGUCUAAUACCGGAUAGGACCAUGGACUUCACGGUUUGUGGUGGAAAGCUUUUGCGGUGUGGGAUGGGCCCGCGGCCUAUCAGCUUGUUGGUGGGGUAAUGGCCUACCAAGGCGACGACGGGUAGCCGGCCUGAGAGGGUGUCCGGCCACACUGGGACUGAGAUACGGCCCAGACUCCUACGGGAGGCAGCAGUGGGGAAUAUUGCACAAUGGGCGCAAGCCUGAUGCAGCGACGCCGCGUGAGGGAUGAC
Molecule: ribosomal RNA, 379 nt
Filed under: uncultured bacterium
Lineage: Bacteria
Description: bacterial SSU rRNA
Rfam family: Bacterial small subunit ribosomal RNA
Source: RNAcentral